Molecule: ribosomal RNA, 500 nt
Filed under: uncultured bacterium
Lineage: Bacteria
Description: partial 16S ribosomal RNA
Rfam family: Bacterial small subunit ribosomal RNA
Source: RNAcentral
AUUGAACGCUGGCGGCAUGCCUUACACAUGCAAGUCGAACGGCAGCACGGGAGCAAUCCUGGUGGCGAGUGGCGAACGGGUGAGUAAAGCAUCGGAACGUGCCCAGUCGUGGGGGAUAACGUAGCGAAAGUUACGCUAAUACCGCAUACGAUCUAUGGAUGAAAGCGGGGGAUCGCAAGACCUCGCGCGAUUGGAGCGGCCGAUAUCAGAUUAGGUAGUUGGUGGGGUGAAGGCUCACCAAGCCGACGAUCUGUAGCUGGUCUGAGAGGACGACCAGCCACACUGGGACUGAGACACGGCCCAGACUCCUACGGGAGGCAGCAGUGGGGAAUUUUGGACAAUGGGCGAAAGCCUGAUCCAGCCAUGCCGCGUGCAGGAUGAAGGCCUUCGGGUUGUAAACUGCUUUUGUACGGAACGAAAAGGUUUGGCCUAAUAAGCUGAGCUCAUGACGGUACCGUAAGAAUAAGCACCGGCUAACUACGUGCCAGCAGCCGCCGUAA